GGCUUAGAGUUUGAUCCUGGCUCAGGACGAACGCUGNCGGCGUGCUUUAACACAUGCAAGUCGAGGGGGGGUAGCAAUACCUCACCGGCGAACGGGUGCGUAACACGUGAGCAACCUACCGAUGUCUGGGGGAUAGCCGGCCCAACGGCCGGGUAAUACCGCAUACGCUCUUUGGGGGGAGUCCCCUGGAGAGGAAACCCUUUCGGGGGGGAGAUCGAGGGGCUCGCGGCCUAUCAGCUAGUUGGUGCGGUCACGGCGCACCAAGGCUAUGACGGGUAGCUGGUCUGAGAGGAUGGCCAGCCACAUUGGGACUGAGAGACGGCCCAGACUCCUACGGGAGGCAGCAGUGGGGAAUCUUGCGCAAUGGUCGAAAGACUGACGCAGCGACGCCGCGUGCGGGAGGAAGCUCUUCGGGAUGUAAACCGCUGUUGCCCGGAACGAAACCACCUUGG
Molecule: ribosomal RNA, 452 nt
Filed under: uncultured bacterium
Lineage: Bacteria
Description: partial small subunit ribosomal RNA
Rfam family: Bacterial small subunit ribosomal RNA
Source: RNAcentral